UACGUAGGGGGCAAGCGUUGUCCGGAUUUAUUGGGCGUAAAGAGCGUGUAGGCGGCCAGGUAGGUCAGCUGUGAAAACUCGAGGCUCAACCUCGAGACGCCGGUUGAAACCAUCUGGCUAGAGUCCGGAAGAGGAGAGUGGAAUUCCUGGUGUAGCGGUGAAAUGCGCAGAUAUCAGGAGGAACACCUGAGGCGAAGGCGGGUUGCUAGGCUGACACUGACGCUGAGUGCGCGAAAGCCAGGGGAGCAAACGGG
This 254-nucleotide ribosomal RNA is filed under the name uncultured bacterium. RNAcentral describes it as "partial 16S ribosomal RNA". It matches the Rfam family "Bacterial small subunit ribosomal RNA", at positions 524 to 776 of the family's 1533-position model. The record is from RNAcentral.